Molecule: ribosomal RNA, 208 nt
Filed under: uncultured bacterium
Lineage: Bacteria
Description: partial 16S ribosomal RNA
Rfam family: Bacterial small subunit ribosomal RNA
Source: RNAcentral
UCAGUUCGGAUUGGAGUCUGCAACUCGACUCCAUGAAGCUGGAUUCGCUAGUAAUCGCGCAUCAGCCAUGGCGCGGUGAAUACGUUCCCGGGCCUUGUACACACCGCCCGUCAAGCCAUGGGAGUCGGGAGUGCCUGAAGUUCGUGACCGUUUAGGAGCGACCUAGGGCAAGAACUGAUGGACUGGGGCUAAGUCGUAACAAGGUAAC